This 460-nucleotide ribosomal RNA is filed under the name uncultured bacterium. Its description in RNAcentral is "partial 16S ribosomal RNA". It matches the Rfam family "Bacterial small subunit ribosomal RNA", at positions 338 to 795 of the family's 1533-position model. The record is from RNAcentral.
CCUACGGGCGGCAGCAGUGAGGAAUAUUGGUCAAUGGACGAGAGUCUGAACCAGCCAAGUAGCGUGAAGGAUGACUGCCCUAUGGGUUGUAAACUUCUUUUAUAUGGGAAUAAAAUGUUCCACGUGUGGGAUUUUGUAUGUACCAUAUGAAUAAGGAUCGGCUAACUCCGUGCCAGCAGCCGCGGUAAUAAGGAGGAUCCGAGCGUUAUCCGGAUUUAUUGGGUUUAAAGGGAGCGUAGGGGGAUUGUUAAGUCAGUUGUGAAAGUUUGCGGCUCAACCGUAAAAUUGCAGUUGAAACUGGAAGUCUUGAGUACAGUAGAGGUGGGCGGAAUGCGUGGUGUAGCGGUGAAAUGCUUAGAUAUCACGAAGAACUCCGAUUGCGAAGGCAGCUCACUGGACUGCAACUGACACUGAGGCUCGAAAGUGUGGGUAUCAAACAGGAUUAGAUACCCCAGUAGUC